Molecule: ribosomal RNA, 459 nt
Filed under: uncultured bacterium
Lineage: Bacteria
Description: bacterial SSU rRNA
Rfam family: Bacterial small subunit ribosomal RNA
Source: RNAcentral
AUUGAACGCUGGCGGCAUGCCUUACACAUGCAAGUCGAACGGCAGCACGGACUUCGGUCUGGUGGCGAGUGGCGAACGGGUGAGUAAUGCAUCGGAACGUACCCGGUAGUGGGGGAUAACUACCCGAAAGGGUGGCUAAUACCGCAUAUACUGUGCGCAGGAAAGCAGGGGACCUUCGGGCCUUGUGCUACCGGAGCGGCCGAUGUCAGAUUAGGUAGUUGGUGGGGUAACGGCCUACCAAGCCUGCGAUCUGUAGCGGGUCUGAGAGGAUGAUCCGCCACACUGGGACUGAGACACGGCCCAGACUCCUACGGGAGGCAGCAGCAGGGAAUCUUGGGCAAUGGGCGAAAGCCUGACCCAGCGACGCCGCGUGGAGGAAGAAGUCCUUCGGGGCGUAAACUCCUGGACGUGGGGACGAGGAAGGACGGUACCCAGUAGAAAGGGACGGCUAACUACGUG